GGGUUGUGAGGUUAAGCGAAUAAGCGUACACGGUGGAUGCCUAGGCAAUCAGAGGCGAUGAAGGACGUGCUAAUCUGCGAAAAGCGUCGGUAAGGUGAUAUGAACCGUUAUACCCGACGAUAUCCGAAUGGGGAAACCCAGUAUCCAAUGGAUACUAUCAUUAACUGAAUCCAUAGGUUAAUGAGGCGAACCGGGAGAACUGAAACAUCUCAGUACCCCGAGGAAAAGAAAUCAACCGAGAUUCCCCUAGUAGCGGCGAGCGAACGGGGAGCAGCCCAGAGUCUUAAUCAAUAGCAGUGUCAGGAGAACGGUCUGGAAAGUCCGGCAGUAAAGGGUGAUAGCCCCGUAUCUGAAGAUGCUGUUAUUGUGAACUCGACGAGUAGGGCGGGACACGUGUUAUCCUGUCUGAAUAUGGGGGGACCAUCCUCCAAGGCUAAAUACUCCUGAUUGACCGAUAGUGAACCAGUACCGUGAGGGAAAGGCGAAAAGAACCCCGGCGAGGGGAGUGAAAAAGAACCUGAAACCGUGUACGUACAAGCAGUAGGAGCCUCUUUAUGGGGUGACUGCGUACCUUUUGUAUAAUGGGUCAGCGACUUAUAUUCUGUAGCGAGGUUAACCGUAUAGGGGAGCCGUAGGGAAACCGAGUCUUAACUGGGCGAAUGAGUUGCAGGGUAUAGACCCGAAACCCGGUGAUCUAUCCAUGGGCAGGUUGAAGGUUGGGUAACACUAACUGGAGGACCGAACCGACUAAUGUUGAAAAAUUAGCGGAUGACUUGUGGAUGGGGGUGAAAGGCCAAUCAAACCGGGAGAUAGCUGGUUCUCCCCGAAAGCUAUUUAGGUAGCGCCUCGUGAACUCAUCUUCGGGGGUAGAGCACUGUUUCGACUAGGGGGUCAUCCCGACUUACCAACUCGAUGCAAACUGCGAAUACCGAAGAAUGUUAUCACGGGAGACACACGGCGGGUGCUAACGUCCGUCGUGAAGAGGGAAACAACCCAGACCGCCAGCUAAGGUCCCAAAGUCAUGGUUAAGUGGGAAACGAAGUGGGAAGGCUCAGACAGCCAGGAUGUUGGCUUAGAAGCAGCCAUCAUUUAAAGAAAGCGUAAUAGCUCACUGGUCGAGUCGGCCCGCGCGGAAGAUGUAACGGGGCUAAACCAUGCACCGAAGCUGCGGCAGCGACACAAAGUGUUGUUGGGUAGGGGAGCGUUCUGUAAGCCUGCGAAGGUGUACUGUGAGGUAUGCUGGAGGUAUCAGAAGUGCGAAUGCUGACAUAAGUAACGAUAAUGCGGGUGAAAAACCCGCACGCCGGAAGACCAAGGGUUCCUGUCCAACGUUAAUCGGGGCAGGGUGAGUCGACCCCUAAGGCGAGGCUGAAAAGCGUAGUCGAUGGGAAACGGGUUAAUAUUCCCGUACUGGUGGUAACUGCGAUGGGGGAACGGAGAAGGCUAGGUUGUCCGGGCGACGGUCGUCCCGGUUCAAGCAGGUAGGCAGAGUGAUUAGGCAAAUCCGGUCACUUAAUGCUGAGAUGUGAUGACGAACCACCAAGGUGGUGAAGCAAUUGAUGCCCCGCUUCCAGGAAAAGCCUCUAAGCUUCAGGUUACCAACAAUCGUACCCCAAACCGACACAGGUGGUCAGGUAGAGAAUACUCAGGCGCUUGAGAGAACUCGGGUGAAGGAACUAGGCAAAAUGGUGCCGUAACUUCGGGAGAAGGCACGCUGGCGGUAGGUAAAGUCCCUCGCGGACGGCGCUGAAGCCAGUCGAAGAUACCAGCUGGCUGCAACUGUUUAUUAAAAACACAGCACUGUGCAAACACGAAAGUGGACGUAUACGGUGUGACGCCUGCCCGGUGCUGGAAGGUUAAUUGAUGGGGUCAGCCGUAAGGCGAAGCUCCUGAUCGAAGCCCCAGUAAACGGCGGCCGUAACUAUAACGGUCCUAAGGUAGCGAAAUUCCUUGUCGGGUAAGUUCCGACCUGCACGAAUGGCGUAAUGAUGGCCAGGCUGUCUCCACCCGAGACUCAGUGAAAUUGAACUCGCUGUGAAGAUGCAGUGUACCCGCGGCAAGACGGAAAGACCCCGUGAACCUUUACUAUAGCUUGACACUGAACAUUGAGCCUUGAUGUGUAGGAUAGGUGGGAGGCUUUGAAGUGUGGACGCCAGUCUGCAUGGAGCCAACCUUGAAAUACCACCCUUUAACGUUUGAUGUUCUAACCUAGGCCCAUAAACUGGGUCGGGGACCGUGUCUGGUGGGUAGUUUGACUGGGGCGGUCUCCUCCUAAAGAGUAACGGAGGAGCACGAAGGUUGGCUAAGCAUGGUCGGACAUCAUGCGGUUAGUGCAAAGGCAUAAGCCAGCUUGACUGCGAGAGUGACGGCUCGAGCAGGUACGAAAGUAGGUCUUAGUGAUCCGGUGGUUCUGAAUGGAAGGGCCAUCGCUCAACGGAUAAAAGGUACUCCGGGGAUAACAGGCUGAUACCGCCCAAGAGUUCAUAUCGACGGCGGUGUUUGGCACCUCGAUGUCGGCUCAUCACAUCCUGGGGCUGAAGUAGGUCCCAAGGGUAUGGCUGUUCGCCAUUUAAAGUGGUACGCGAGCUGGGUUUAGAACGUCGUGAGACAGUUCGGUCCCUAUCUGCCGUGGGCGUUGGAAGAUUGAGAGGGGUUGCUCCUAGUACGAGAGGACCGGAGUGAACGCACCACUGGUGUUCGGGUUGUCAUGCCAAUGGCAUUGCCCGGUAGCUAAGUGCGGAAGAGAUAACCGCUGAAAGCAUCUAAGCGGGAAACUUGCCUCGAGAUGAGUCUUCCCUGUCGCUUUAAGUGACCUAAAGGAACGUUUAAGACUAAGACGUUGAUAGGCUGGGUGUGUAAGCGUAGCGAUACGUUGAGCUAACCAGUACUAAUGAACCGUGAGGCUUAACCUGACAACACCGAAAGUGUUUUG
RNAcentral lists this ribosomal RNA (2932 nucleotides) under Proteus mirabilis. RNAcentral's name for it is "bacterial LSU rRNA". It matches the Rfam family "Bacterial large subunit ribosomal RNA". The record is from RNAcentral. Lineage: Bacteria; Pseudomonadati; Pseudomonadota; Gammaproteobacteria; Enterobacterales; Morganellaceae.